UCAUUACAGAGUUUUCUAACUCCCAAACCCAUGUGAACUUACCAUUGUUGCCUCGGCAGAACCUACCCGGUACCUACCCUGUAACGACCUACCCUGUAGCGAGUUACCCGGGAACGGCCUACCCUGUAGUGCGCUGCCGGCGGACCUCUUAACUCUUGUUAUUUUAUAGUAAUCUGAGCGUCUUAUUUUAAUAAGUCAAAACUUUCAACAACGGAUCUCUUGGUUCUGGCAUCGAUGAAGAACGCAGCGAAAUGCGAUACGUAAUGUGAAUUGCAGAAUUCAGUGAAUCAUCGAAUCUUUGAACGCACAUUGCGCCCAUUAGUAUUCUAGUGGGCAUGCCUGUUCGAGCGUCAUUUCAACCCUUAAGCCUAGCUUAGUGUUGGGAGCCUACUGUAUUGUAGCUCCCCAAAUCCAACGGCGGAUCUGUGGUAUCCUCUGAGCGUAGUAAUUUUUAUCUCGCUUUUGUCAGGUGCCGCAGCUCUCAGCCGCUAAACCCCCCCAAUUUUUUAAUGGUUGACCUCGGAUCAGGUAGGAAUACCCGCUGAACUUAAGC
RNAcentral lists this ribosomal RNA (553 nucleotides) under Seimatosporium lichenicola. RNAcentral's name for it is "eukaryotic LSU rRNA". The stretch from base 200 to 353 matches the Rfam family "5.8S ribosomal RNA". Lineage: Eukaryota; Fungi; Ascomycota; Sordariomycetes; Amphisphaeriales; Sporocadaceae. The record is from RNAcentral.